This is a long non-coding RNA of Mycetomoellerius zeteki, 97 nucleotides long. RefSeq lists it as uncharacterized. The transcript has 3 exons. The record is from RefSeq and is a predicted model, not a curated record. NCBI's taxonomy places the organism in Eukaryota, Metazoa, Arthropoda, Insecta, Hymenoptera, Formicidae.
GUAGCAAGUUAUUUUAAUUUGUAUUAAAAUCAAGAUUUUGUAAUUAGACUUUUGUUUCGCCCAUCCCCUCAAUUGUUAACGUUAAAUAAUUUUCUAG